GGCGGGGCUGAGGGGCCGAACCCGCGGGGGGGAGGGGCGGCGUCGGUCACGUGACGAGGUUUCAGUGUUUACACGCGGAGCGGCCAGAGCGUUCGGCCUCAGUCAGGCGCUCGCCUCCGUUUCGGUU
Non-coding RNA from Pteropus vampyrus (large flying fox), 127 nucleotides. The record is from Rfam. Lineage: Eukaryota; Metazoa; Chordata; Mammalia; Chiroptera; Pteropodidae.